RNAcentral lists this ribosomal RNA (641 nucleotides) under uncultured Alphaproteobacteria bacterium. RNAcentral describes it as "bacterial SSU rRNA". It matches the Rfam family "Bacterial small subunit ribosomal RNA", at positions 46 to 734 of the family's 1533-position model. The record is from RNAcentral. Lineage: Bacteria; Pseudomonadati; Pseudomonadota; Alphaproteobacteria.
GCCUAACACAUGCAAGUCGAACGAAGGCUUCGGCCUUAGUGGCGCACGGGUGCGUAACGCGUGGGAAUCUGCCCUUGGGUUCGGAAUAACAGUUAGAAAUGACUGCUAAUACCGGAUGAUGUCGUAAGACCAAAGAUUUAUCGCCCAAGGAUGAGCCCGCGUAGGAUUAGCUAGUUGGUGGGGUAAAGGCCCACCAAGGCGACGAUCCUUAGCUGGUCUGAGAGGAUGAUCAGCCACACUGGGACUGAGACACGGCCCAGACUCCUACGGGAGGCAGCAGUGGGGAAUAUUGGACAAUGGGCGAAAGCCUGAUCCAGCAAUGCCGCGUGAGUGAUGAAGGCCUUAGGGUUGUAAAGCUCUUUUACCCGGGAUGAUAAUGACAGUACCGGGAGAAUAAGCUCCGGCUAACUUCGUGCCAGCAGCCGCGGUAAUACGAGGGGAGCUAGCGUUAUUCGGAAUUACUGGGCGUAAAGCGCACGUAGGCGGCUUUGUAAGUUAGAGGUGAAAGCCCAGAGCUCAACUCUGGAAUUGCCUUUAAGACUGCAUCGCUUGAAUCCAGGAGAGGUGAGUGGAAUUCCGAGUGUAGAGGUGAAAUUCGUAGAUAUUCGGAAGACACCAGUGGCGAAGGCGGCUCACUGGAC